This 384-nucleotide ribosomal RNA is filed under the name uncultured prokaryote. RNAcentral describes it as "bacterial SSU rRNA". It matches the Rfam family "Archaeal small subunit ribosomal RNA", at positions 341 to 725 of the family's 1478-position model. The record is from RNAcentral.
GCGAAAACUUUACAAUGCUGGCAACAGCGAUAAGGGAACAUCGAGUGCCAGGUUACAAAUCUGGCUGUCGAGAUGCCUAAAAAGCAUUUCAUAGCAAGGGCCGGGCAAGACCGGUGCCAGCCGCCGCGGUAACACCGGCGGCUCGAGUGGUAACCGUUAUUAUUGGGUCUAAAGGGUCUGUAGCCGGCCGGAUAAGUCUCUUGAGAAAUCUGGCAGCUUAACUGUCAGGCUUUCAGGAGAUACUGUCUGGCUCGAGGCCGGGAGAGGUGAGAGGUACUUCAGGGGUAGGGGUGAAAUCUUGUAAUCCUUGAAGGACCACCAGUGGCGAAGGCGUCUCACCAGAACGGACCUGACGGCAAGGGGCGAAAUCUAGGGGCACGAACC